GCGCCUGUAGCUCAACUGGAUAGAGCGUCAGCCUCCGGAGCUGAAGGUUCCGCGUUCGACUCGCGGCAGGCGCACCA
This 77-nucleotide transfer RNA is filed under the name Verrucomicrobiota bacterium. RNAcentral describes it as "Verrucomicrobia bacterium (groundwater metagenome) tRNA-Arg". It matches the Rfam family "tRNA". From Rfam's summary of the family: Transfer RNA (tRNA) molecules are approximately 80 nucleotides in length. Their secondary structure includes four short double-helical elements and three loops (D, anti-codon, and T loops). Lineage: Bacteria; Pseudomonadati; Verrucomicrobiota. The record is from RNAcentral.